UACGUAGGGGGCAAGCGUUUAUCCGGAAUCAUUGGGCGUAAAGCGCGUGUAGGCGGUUCCGUAAGUCCGCUCUGAAAGCCCAGGGCUCAACCCUGGGAGGCGGGUGGAUACUACGGAACUGGAGUACGGAAGAGGAGAGUUGGAAUUCCGUGGUGUAGCGGUGAAAUGCGCAGAUAUCAGGAGGAACACCGGUGGCGAAGGCGGGUCUCUGGGCCGAUACUGACGCUGGAGGAGCGAAAGCGUGGGGAGCGAACAGG
This 257-nucleotide ribosomal RNA is filed under the name uncultured bacterium. Its description in RNAcentral is "partial 16S ribosomal RNA". It matches the Rfam family "Bacterial small subunit ribosomal RNA", at positions 524 to 776 of the family's 1533-position model. The record is from RNAcentral.